GACGGAAGGUGCAAGCGUUGCUCGGAAUCACUGGGCGUAAAGGGUGCGUAGGCGGCUUCUUAAGUCUGGUGUGAAAGCCCAGGGCUCAGCUCUGGAAGUGCACUAGAUACUGGGAAGCUUGAGUACCGGAGGGGAGAGUGGAAUUCCUGGUGUAGCGGUGAAAUGCGUAGAUAUCAGGAGGAACACCGGUGGCGAAGGCGGAUCUCUGGGCCAUUACUGACGCUGAGGAGCGAAAGCGUGGGGAGCAAACAGG
RNAcentral lists this ribosomal RNA (253 nucleotides) under uncultured bacterium. RNAcentral's name for it is "partial 16S ribosomal RNA". It matches the Rfam family "Bacterial small subunit ribosomal RNA", at positions 524 to 776 of the family's 1533-position model. The record is from RNAcentral.